GGACCUUACUCAGAAAGCUUUACUCAAUGAUAGGUUGCCUGUAGCCAUCCCAUGUCUCUGAUCUACCAGCUUGGGAAACCUGUGAAGAGGUGGAUUUUUCAUGAAUUUUGUGGUUGGCCUUGGGGGAUGAUAAGAUUUAGAGCCAGAAGGGACCCCCCAGGUGGACUUAUCGUAGGAUAAUAACUCAGGAGUCGCAGGAGCUCUGAAAGGUCUUUUAGUCAAAGUCCUACAUUUUACAGAUGAGGAAACUGAGGCCCAGAACAUUCCCAUGACUUUCCUGAGAUCCCAUCAAUGGCCAUUUCUACACAAAUACAGUUUUUGUAGGAAAUCUUCCUUAGGUUUUCUGAAACCCUCAAAUUCAGUGGUUUGUCUCUUGGGUGUGACUGGGUGCAUGUCUCCCUCACUUCCUGUAGAGUAACGUUGCGACACCCCUUCCUGCUUUCUCACCAAUUGAAGAAAAAUAUACCUCAUCAGGGCCUGGAGAGGAUGCUCUAACCCGGGCAUGCUCUCCAGCUUCUCCUGGCAUGGAUUUCUGGGGGCAACUGAGAUACUCAGCAGGAAGACUAGCUGAUGGCAGACUUCAGAAGGGAAAGCUCACCCAACUGCUUGGCCAACAGCCCCCAGGAGCCUCUGCCCUUCAGCGGCUGCUUCCCUAUCUGGCACCCCUUCAGUGCUGUGGCCAACAGUGCUCCUUGAGCUUCUUGGGAAGGACCGCAUCUGUGACUCCAUCCUGCUGGCCCUGGCUUGCCUCUUCAUCUUGGUCCCUCCACUGCUCUCUUAGUCCCCCUGUCCGGUUCAGUCCAACCAGUCCAGUUCAACCAAUCAGCAGGAGAAACCUACUGAGUAAUGCUCUGCUGCCGUGGCAGGAGCAAACAAUUCGAAUGACAAGAUCAUAUGAGCAGGGAAGAAACCAGUUCAAGUUUCCUGUUGCACCCUCCAGCCCUUGGCAGCUAACCUUCGGCUUCCCAAACAGCAGGUUCUAUUGGUGCUUGUCAAUCUGGGAACUAGGUCAACUCAACACUAAACUCAAUCCUUUGGGACUGCAUGGGAUAGUCCUUUUCUAUCAGAGCAUCACAACCUGGGUCCAGGAGUGUCCUAUUCUAAAAGAAGAAACCAAAAUGCAGGAUGGAAUACUGAAAGCUCUACAAAAGAGAGGACCAUGGGUAAAAGGAGAGAAAUCAGAGUUCCACAUUUUAUAUUCAGGGGAAAAAGCCGAGGAAUGAGGAUGGGC
RNAcentral lists this long non-coding RNA (1231 nucleotides) under Phascolarctos cinereus (koala). RNAcentral's name for it is "lncRNA (ENSPCIG00000032625.1)". Lineage: Eukaryota; Metazoa; Chordata; Mammalia; Diprotodontia; Phascolarctidae. The record is from RNAcentral.